This is a long non-coding RNA of Gossypium arboreum, 1700 nucleotides long. RefSeq lists it as uncharacterized. The transcript has 2 exons. Lineage: Eukaryota; Viridiplantae; Streptophyta; Magnoliopsida; Malvales; Malvaceae. The record is from RefSeq and is a predicted model, not a curated record.
GGGGACUAGGCGCGCCAUAAGCCCAAAAAAAUUAAGUGGUCUACUCUCUUUGUAAUUAAAACCAAAAAAGUUGGCUGUCUGCCAUUAAUACUAAAAUUAAAGAAACCCUCCCAUUUCUUUAAUCCCAUUCUGCCGAAUUCAAAAAAGAAAACCAAGGGGUUCGACCCCCUUUCUCCUUCUGCUAGGGCGCAGCGCCCAUCAUCGCAGCGCUUCCCCUCCCCUGCGCGCUCAUCAGCAACCGUCGGAAACCAGGUGUUGUUGUGGAUAUCUCGGAAGCAUGAGGUGUGACAAAGAGGGACUGCUGAUAGCGCACGUCUCGAAGGUGCGGUGGAUGGUGGAGUGGGACGCUGGUGAGGGGCGUAUGGCGCGAGGGCUCAAGCAACAACUUUAGGUUUCUAUUUGUUUGGGCCUUGUUUGGGUUUAUUUUUGGGCCUGUGUUUUAGAUGUAAAUGGGUCUUGGGUUUGUGAGCUUUGGGCCUGGGUAUAAAUUUGGUCCUACAGCUGUCCUUAUUUGCUCAUUGUCGUGUAACGAGAAUAGAGCAAAGAUUUUAGAAGGGCCAAAUUUGCCUGGGCUAGCUGAGUCUUGUCUUAUUUGCCGCAAUCCACCGCACCUUAUAUCUUCAAAACGCUCCGUUGUUGUUUCACGGAGAUGUGAUCUGCUGUAAUUUGAUCUGCUUUACUUCUGCUCAGUAAAGAUAAGAUCUGGUAUGUUUAGCCUGCUCCACUCUUGCUUAGCAAAUAUAAGGCUGGUGGCUGAAAUCUGCUCCAUUGCUGAUACAUGGAGAUAAAAUUCACCAAAAUUUGAUCUGCUCCGCUCCUACUCAGCGAAGAUAAGAUCUAGUAUAUAGCCUGCUCCACUCCUGCUUAGUGAAGAUAAGGCUGGUGGCUGAAAUCUGCUCCAUUUCCGAUACAUGGAGAUAAGACUUGCCAAAAUUUGAUCUGCUUCACUCUUGCUCAGUGAAGAUAAGAUCUGGUAUUUAGCUCGCUCACUCUCUUUCGGUGAAGAUAAGGUUUGGUGGCUAAAAUCGCUCCAUUCUUAGAUACAUGGAGAUAAGACUUGCCAAAAUUUGAUCUGCUUCACUUCUGCUCAGUGAAGAUAAGAUCUGGUAUAUAGACUGCUCCACUUCUGCUCAGUGAAGAUAAGGCUGGUGGCUGAAAUCUGCUCCAUUGCCCACUAGGGAAUCCAUCUGUAGAAGAGUGAUAUGCUUAUGCUAGAUGAUUAGGAUGCCAUGAUUAAUAUGAAUCAAAUACUCCUAACUACAUGUAUUAUGGAUGUUAAAUGCACAAAAUGCAAAAUGUCAUGAGAAUGAUCAAUUUUAAUUUUUGGGUUGUCAUCGCUCAUUGUUUACUAAGGUAACAUCCUUGACAUAUGCCUUCUUGUUCAGCUUGGUAGAAGAGGACUUGGAGAUGCAGUUAAUUCCUUAUUUCUCACACGUUUCUAGCCCUUUUAAGCUCGGUGAGUUCUAAAUAAUUAUCCUGUUUCAGGUUCUUGUACUGUUUAGAAACCUUUCAGAGUAAUAUGCAAGCCCUUCUUCUGAGAGCAUUAUUAGUUUAUUAAUCAUUAUUUCAAUAAAAAUACUCGAAAAAGAUUAUAAUGAUAGGAAGAACUGAAAUUGAUUCGAGUCAAAAUUUGCGAAAGAUGUAUCAACAAAGAAAGCAGACAUUGUUUGAUAUACAAAAACGGAUAAAAAGGAAUAGAA